UCAAGUCAUUGUUAGGCUCCAACACUUCCCGAUUUAGUUCCACCACCUAGUAAACUUCAUUUCACUAGUACAACUAAAACCAACCAAUGUCACUAACAACCAACCGAAGUUUCACAACUUAUCCACACCAUGAGAAUCACAACUAGUAACAAAGUUCAAGAACAAUACCUCGCAUUGUGUGAAAGAAAUUCAACCAUACCUUGAACCUUAUAA
RNAcentral lists this long non-coding RNA (213 nucleotides) under Trifolium pratense (red clover). RNAcentral describes it as "long non-coding RNA (TPRA_LNC000198)". Lineage: Eukaryota; Viridiplantae; Streptophyta; Magnoliopsida; Fabales; Fabaceae. The record is from RNAcentral.